CAACACCUGUGAAUGCGCAGGGACCAAGUCUGGAAAUAACCCAGACCCCCAAAACACAACGCUGAAGUUCAGAUCAAAGUGCAAACGCACGCAAAAUUACAGGGAAAUUUAAAAGAAAGAAAGAACUGCGAAUAUAGGCUGAUUCGAAUGCCGCGCGAAAGGGGAAGGACCUAUACGGAAAAUAUCCCUUACCGCUAAAACACGCGGGUCAUCGGGGCAAAUAACCGGGUCGGGUCGAUAAGCCUAUGCGACGCCGUUUUGAGGCCAUGGUAGUAAGCCUCAAACGACGUCGUUUCUACACACAUAAAAACCCCCUUUUUAUGCCAAAUUUUCAUUCCUCCAAACCCUAGUCCCUCUUAUCUCCCUCUCGUCUGACCCUAGAACUCCCCCUUUAGUGCCGAUCUGCGACUAUCAGCAGAGACGAACAACCUCGGGUUCCAAAGGACGACCAUUUCGGCCGUGGGAUCCCUUCUAAACCCCGAUUUCAACGAAAUGAAGGGGAAACGAUGGCCAACUCGCAGGGUAAACCUCUCUUUCGCUUUCUUUUUUUGUUUUUGAGAUAUAUUUUGAAGUAAAAAAGAAAAUAGAGGCGUAAAAAUAAAAACAGGGAACAACCUUUGAAGAAUAUUCAACUUCUUUGUAUUUGAUUGCUAUUGUGUAUAUUCUCUAUUUUUGCAUUUUUUGUUGUGUAUUUGCGCGUCAAUGUCUCCCUUUACAAGAUUAAAAUCUGGCUUUUUAUAGCCGAAAAGAAAGAGGAAGAAUUCGAAAUAAAAUACAAUGUUUUUCUCUUGUUUGUACUUGCUGUUGGUUUCCUUGUCUGUUUGCAGGUGUGCGGGUACGGGGCCAGCUGGCAUUUGGCGUGGAGGUGUACGGAGGCGCUAGAGAUUGUUGAGGUUGCUGCGGCGCAAGGGAGAGAACCCUAGGGUUCUUCCUGUUCUAAAAUCUUUGGGCCAUUUGGGCCGGUGUAAUUUUGGUGUUGGGCCAAGGCAUUGGUUUGGGUAUUGGGUUAGGGUAUAAGUUUGGGCAUUGGGUCACUGUAAUUGGACUUAGGUAUUGGGCUGUAAAUAGAAUAUUAAUGGACUGUUUUGUUUAUUCUUUUUUCUUGGUUUAUUUUGGGUUUCAAAAGUGGCCGGGCAAAUUGGCCUAUCUACAAUAAAUAAAUAAAUAGACCUAAAUUUACUUAAAUUUUCACAUGUAAUUUAGAUAGGUGAAAGCACAAAGAUCCUUGCUAUGAUCUUUAACUUGUUAGUGACAUCUUUUACCAUGCACCAAAUCUUUGAUCUUUAUCUCAAAAGCUUCAUUUUUUUUAGACAAAGAAAAAAAAUUAUAUCUGAAGAUUUUGAUCCUAAACUUCUUUUUACUUUUUAGCCUUUUAAUUUAUUUCAAAAUCAAAAUUUAUUAAGUCAUGAUGAUGAUACGCAGCAAUAAAUAGACAAAAGACAAUGAAAGAACAAAAGAAAUAUAAACAAAAAAUAACAAGGUCAUAAAAAAAAACCAAGGAAAAUGAGGAUACAUAGCAAUAAAUAAAAAAAAUAAAAAAAAUAAAUCACAAAUACAAUAGAAGAGAUGAGUUUAACGAAAAGAAGAUGAGAAAAAGAAGAGGAGGGAGAAUAGAAAGAAAAAAAAUGGAAGAAAGAAAAAUUAGAGAAAAUAAAUAAAUAGGAAACAACAACAAAGUUAGAGAAAAUAAAUAAAUAGGAAACAACAACAUUUCAUUAAAUUUAUCGAGGGAUUAAUUAAAUCAAUCUAUUUAAUUAAUAAAAGUUACCAAAUUAACAAUUUUUUAAAUUAUAAAAAUAGAAAUAACUUAAAUUUAAAGUGGUUAAUAGGGUAGUUUAUCAUAAUAAUAAUUUCGGAGGCAAAUAAACUAUAAAAAUCUAUAAAAAUAUGACAUAAGUAUUCUUAGUUUUUGUAAAUUUAGAAUUUAAUCAUUAUAUUAUUAUUUUUAAGAAUUU
This 1955-nucleotide long non-coding RNA is filed under the name Gossypium barbadense (sea-island cotton). RNAcentral describes it as "long non-coding RNA (GBAR_LNC002074)". The record is from RNAcentral. Lineage: Eukaryota; Viridiplantae; Streptophyta; Magnoliopsida; Malvales; Malvaceae.